Molecule: small RNA, 81 nt
Filed under: Flavobacterium aquidurense
Lineage: Bacteria; Pseudomonadati; Bacteroidota; Flavobacteriia; Flavobacteriales; Flavobacteriaceae
Description: Flavo-1 RNA
Source: RNAcentral
GUCCAGACGGUAGGAUAGAAACGGCAUUCUUUUGUGUCGCGGCGGCUGGCAUAAAAGAUAUAGUGGAUAGCGGGACGAUUC